RNAcentral lists this ribosomal RNA (468 nucleotides) under uncultured bacterium. Its description in RNAcentral is "partial 16S ribosomal RNA". It matches the Rfam family "Bacterial small subunit ribosomal RNA", at positions 28 to 507 of the family's 1533-position model. The record is from RNAcentral.
GACGAACGCUGGCGGCGUGCUUAACACAUGCAAGUCGAACGGAAAGGCCCUGCUUUUGUGGGGUGCUCGAGUGGCGAACGGGUGAGUAACACGUGAGUAACCUGCCCUUGACUUUGGGAUAACUUCAGGAAACUGGGGCUAAUACCGGAUAGGAGCUCCUGCUGCAUGGUGGGGGUUGGAAAGUUUCGGCGGUUGGGGAUGGACUCGCGGCUUAUCAGCUUGUUGGUGGGGUAGUGGCUUACCAAGGCUUUGACGGGUAGCCGGCCUGAGAGGGUGACCGGCCACCUUGGGCCUGAGAUACGGCCCAGACUCCUACGGGAGGCAGCAGUGGGGAAUAUUGCACAAUGGGCGGAAGCCUGAGGCAGCAACGCCGCGUGCGGGAUGACGGCCUUCGGGUUGUAAACCGCUUUCGCCUGUGACGAAGCGUGAGUGACGGUAAUGGGUAAAGAAGCACCGGCUAACUACGUG